This 100-nucleotide small nuclear RNA is filed under the name Mus spicilegus (steppe mouse). Lineage: Eukaryota; Metazoa; Chordata; Mammalia; Rodentia; Muridae. The record is from RNAcentral.
AUGGCACUCAUUCAUACAUACUAAAAUUGAGACAAUACAGAGAUCAGCAUGGGCCUGGCACAAGGAUGACACACAAAUCUGUGAAGCAUUCCAUAGUAAA